AUAUAAGCAAAAAUCCACUCUUUAGAUACAUUCAAUUAAUGAUGUAUGUGGUCCUUAUUAUAUGUCACAUCCAUCAUUAAUUGAAUGUAUCUAAAAAGUAGAAUUUUGCUUAUAU
Molecule: microRNA precursor, 115 nt
Organism: Medicago truncatula (barrel medic)
Lineage: Eukaryota; Viridiplantae; Streptophyta; Magnoliopsida; Fabales; Fabaceae
Rfam family: MIR2593 microRNA precursor family
Source: Rfam